CUAUACGGCCGUACCGCAAACCGACACUGGUGCGCGAGAUGAGUAUUCUAAGGCGCUUGAGAGAACUCAGGAGAAGGAACUCGGCAAAUUGACACCGUAACUUCGGAAGAAGGUGUGCCCUAUUAGUGUGUAGUGAACAACGAAGCAUGAAUGGGUUGCAAAAAAUCGGUGGCUGCGACUGUUUAUUAAAAACACAGCACUCUGCAAACACGAAAGUGGACGUAUAGGGUGUGACGCCUGCCCGGUGCUGGAAGAUUAAAUGAUGGGGUGCAAGCUCUUGAUUGAAGUCCCAGUAAACGGCGGCCGUAACAAUAACGGUCCUAAGGUAGCGAAAUUCCUUGUCGGGUAAGUUCCGACCUGCACGAAUGGCGUAACGAUGGCCACACUGUCUCCUCCUGAGACUCAGCGAAGUUGAAAUGUUUGUGAUGAUGCAAUCUCCCCGCGGAAAGACGGAAAGACCCCAUGAACCUUUACUGUAGCUUUGUAUUGGACUUUGAACAGAUCUGUGUAGGAUAGGUGGGAGGCUUUGAAGCAGGGUCGCUAGAUCUUGUGGAGCCAACGUUGAAAUACCACCCUGGUGUGUUUGAGGUUCUAACCUAGGUCCAUUAUCUGGAUCGGGACAGUGCAUGGUAGGCAGUUUGACUGGGGCGGUCUCCUCCCAAAGCGUAACGGAGGAGUUCGAAGGUACGCUAGUUACGGUCGGACAUCGUGACGAUAGUGCAAUGGCAUAAGCGUGCUUAACUGCGAGACUGACAAGUCGAGCAGAUGCGAAAGCAGGACAUAGUGAUCCGGUGGUUCUGUAUGGAAGGGCCAUCGCUCAACGGAUAAAAGGUACUCUGGGGAUAACAGGCUGAUACCGCCCAAGAGUUCAUAUCGACGGCGGUGUUUGGCACCUCGAUGUCGGCUCAUCUCAUCCUGGGGCUGUAGCCGGUCCCAAGGGUAUGGCUGUUCGCCAUUUAAAGAGGUACGUGAGCUGGGUUUAAAGCGUCGUGAGACAGUUUGGUCCCUAUCUUCCGUGGGCGCUGCAGAUUUGAGGAAGCCUGCUCCUAGUACGAGAGGACCGGAGUGGACACACCUCUGGUGUAUCGGUUGUCACGCCAGUGGCAUUGCCGAGUAGCUAAGUGUGGAAGAGAUAACCGCUGAAAGCAUCUAAGCGGGAAACUCGUUUCAAGAUGAGAUCUGCCGGGGCCUUGAGCCCCCUAAAGAGUCGUUCAAGACCAGGACGUUGAUAGGUCAGGUGUGGAAGUGAAU
RNAcentral lists this ribosomal RNA (1251 nucleotides) under metagenome. RNAcentral describes it as "bacterial LSU rRNA". It matches the Rfam family "Bacterial large subunit ribosomal RNA", at positions 1634 to 2878 of the family's 2925-position model. The record is from RNAcentral.